GAUGAACGCUGGCGGCGUGCCUAAUACAUGCCAGUCGAGCGAACAGACGAGUCGGUUUCCCCGCUGACGUUACCGGCGGAUGGCUGAUUAACACGUUGAUCACCUAUUUAUAAUACUCGGAUAACUCCGGGACAACGGCGCUAAUACCCGACAAUAUAUUUAACCUCAUGGUUCAAUAGUUUACGACGGUUUUGCUGUCACUGAUCGAUGGAUCCGCGCCGCAUUAGCUAGUUGGUCAGGUAACGGCUUACUAAGGCGACGAUGCGUAUCCGACGGGAGAGGGUGAUAGGCGACACUGGAAGUGAGACGCGGACCAGACGCCUGCGGGACGCAGCAGUAGGGAAUGGGCCGCAAUGGGGGAAAGCAUGACGGAGCAGCGCCGAGUGAGAGAUGGAGGUCUUCGGAGAGGAAAACUCUGUUAUGAGGGAAGAACAAAUGUGUAAGGAGCUAUGCAGGUCUUGACGGUACCUAUAGAAAAAGCCCCGGCUAACUACGUG
This 497-nucleotide ribosomal RNA is filed under the name uncultured bacterium. RNAcentral describes it as "partial 16S ribosomal RNA". It matches the Rfam family "Bacterial small subunit ribosomal RNA", at positions 28 to 507 of the family's 1533-position model. The record is from RNAcentral.